Molecule: ribosomal RNA, 253 nt
Filed under: uncultured bacterium
Lineage: Bacteria
Description: partial 16S ribosomal RNA
Rfam family: Bacterial small subunit ribosomal RNA
Source: RNAcentral
UACGUAGGUGGCAAGCGUUGUCCGGAUUUAUUGGGCGUAAAGGGCGCGUAGGCGGCUCGGCACGUCCGUUGUGAAAUCGCCCGGCUCAACUGGGCGGGGUCAGCGGAUACGGCCGAGCUUGAGCAAGCUAGGGGGCAAUGGAAUUCCCGGUGUAGUGGUGGAAUGCGUAGAUAUCGGGAGGAACACCGGUGGCGAAGGCGGCAUCCUGGACCAACACUGACACUGAGGAGCGAAAGCCAGGGGAGCAAGCGGG